Molecule: microRNA, 21 nt
Filed under: Schmidtea mediterranea
Lineage: Eukaryota; Metazoa; Platyhelminthes; Tricladida; Dugesiidae
Description: sme-miR-2169-5p
Source: miRBase by way of RNAcentral
AACUUUGAAAUUCGAUCUGAU